Long non-coding RNA from Metopolophium dirhodum (rose-grain aphid), 1318 nucleotides. RefSeq lists it as uncharacterized. The transcript has 3 exons. NCBI's taxonomy places the organism in Eukaryota, Metazoa, Arthropoda, Insecta, Hemiptera, Aphididae. The record is from RefSeq and is a predicted model, not a curated record.
UAUGAAUUCUUAACUCAAAAUAAUUUGCUAAUUUUCGUGAUUUUUCCGUAUUUUGUCAAUAUUUGAACUUUAAAUGCUUAUAAAUAAAAACUGUGACAAAGGAUUUUUAAUUUUUUUCAUCUGCCUUUGAAACAAUAACCUAGGAGCCUUCUAUUAAAUUUUAAAGCUUUUUUACUCAAGAGAUAAAAUUUGAUUGAUAUUUAUAGAAAAAAAAACUAAAAAAAUGGAAAACUGACAAUUUCCGUAAACAGCUCAAAAAGAGUCAAAAUAUUUUCAAUGGUGUAUAGAAAAUGCUAUUAUAAACAUUCAGUCAAAAUUUCAUGUCCCUACGGUCAUUUGUUUUAGAGUUACAACAAAAACCAAAAUCGAUUUUCUCAAAAACAGAUUUUGCGUAAAAAUUCCCGUUUUUCCUUAAUUUUUCUUUUGUUUUUCGCGUCGCUUUUGAAAAUAACUGGGAAAUUUUUACUUUUGACUCCCCAAAGUACCAACUAGAUUCACUUUCCUAUCAGAAAAGUUAAUGUCGAAGAAAAUCCAAGCACUUUUACUGUCCUAAAAGGUGAUGAAAGACACAAAAAUAAAAAAAAAAAUAAAAAAAAAAACACACAUCAUUGUAAAAUCAAUACAUUUAUCGCUUCGCUCAGAAUCUAAAAGGUGUUCAGUGUUCACCACAGUAUAUUAUAAUAUUAUACUAUUAUAACUUAUUUGUGCCAUUUUUAUUUAACAUUAAUAAAAAAACAUUCACUUUAAUCACUAGUCCUAUGUUUUGUCUAUUUAGCAUUAGCGAUAAACUGUCUUAAAUCGCAGCCUAAUUGGAUGGAAAAAUUGCCAGUCAAGAUCAAAUCUUUAGGAUCGGAUUCAUUAUUUUUGCCAGGUACCUACACGUGACUUUGGAGCAUAUAAUACUACGCAAAAACUUCCGAUUUAUUUUGAAAAGUAUGUCUAUACUCAAGCCGUUGACGUUUCGAGUGAACUAUGCCACGAAGCUCGAUAUCUGGAUCUGAGAGGCUAUAAAAACAUUUGUAGAAGCAACAAAUGAAAUUGUCAUCGUCAAAUUUCACAAAUUCCAAACGGGUUUUUCGAAAAAUCCGUCAGUGCACUUUGAAUUAUAUCAAUCUGUGACGUUUUACCUGGGCAAUCAUAUGGCUGAAAUCGGAUGGAAUAAGUCGCUGAAAGAUUUACAAACUGAAGGACGGAGGGUAAUUUAUUGUGACUUACAACCAUUUGCUGAUGACAGCAGUAUAUGCUAAUUAUUAUGAAAACCUAUGGACAUCUGUUCCUCGAUACUGACCAAAUGCUCAGAAAUUAACGAAAUUUCAAG